AUGGAGGGGAGCAACCACGGGGGGCAGGGGCAGCCGCCGCACCAGUACCACCAGUACCCGCCGCAUCCGCAGCCGGAGCCCUACCCGUACGCCUACCAGCACCAGCAGUACCCGCCGCCGUCCGCCGCGCCGCCGUCCCACUACCUCGCCCCCUCGACCUCCUUCCCGGCCUACUCCCCCGCGCCGCCGCAGCAGUUCGCGCACCACUCCGGCCCGCUCCAGCCCUACCCGCCGCCGGCGCCGCACCAGCAGCAGGCGUACCCUCCGCAUCCGCAGCACGCGUACCCGCCGCACUCGCAGCAGCACGGGUACCCACCGCCGCCGUCUCCCUCGCCGUACGGUUACGACCCCUACCCGGCGUACCCCUCCUACCCGAGCCCGGCGCACCCCUCCUACCCGAGUCCAGCGAUCUCCCCCAGCUCCAGCUUCCACCACCAGCCCCAUCCCUCGGCCCCUGACCCCACCGCGGCCUCCUACCCGAGUCCGGCGAUCUCCCAUAGCUCCAGCUUCCACCACCAGCCCCAUCCCUCGGGCCCCGCGGCCUCCUNNNNNNNNNNNNNNNNNNNNNNNNNNNNNNNNNNNNNNNNNNACCAGCCCCAUCCCUCGGCCCCUGAAUCCCCCGCGGCCUACUACCCGAGUCCGGCGAUCUCCCCUAGCUCCAGCUUCCACCAUCAGCCCCAUGCCUCGGCCCCCGAAUCACCUGCGGCCUCCACACCGCACUAUCCCAUCGUCGAUGGGUUCGCCAACAUGCACCUCUCCGGCCGCCAUGACUACACGCCGGCGCCCAUGUCAUCGCCCUCCGUACUACCGCAUUCUGCCUCCUUCUCAAACGGUGGAGGGAUGCAGAUGGUGCCGUACGGUACCGUGGCCGGAGGGUCACAGCAUGGCAGCACGAGGGCGUCGCUGAAAGUGGUGCUGCUCCAUGGCAGCCUCGACAUUUGGGUGCACGAGGCCAAGAACCUCCCCAACAAGGACAUGUUCUCCAAGAGGGUCAGCGAGCUCCUCUCCGUAGGCGGCAAGUCCAACUCUAAAAUGACAAGCGACCCCUACGUUACCAUCCAGGUCUCCUAUGCCACCGUCGCUCGCACCUACGUCGUUUCCAAUAGCGAGAACCCCGUUUGGGCGCAGAACUUCCAUGUGCCUGUUGGCCAUGAGGCUGCUGAGGUUGAGUUCGUCGUCAAGGACAGCGAUGUCUUCGGAGCUCAGCUCAUGGGAACUGUGGCCAUCCCUGCCGAGAAUCUCCUUUCUGGGGACAGGAUUGAGGGCAUCUACCCUGUGCUAGAGCCCAAUGGCAAGCCGUGCGCUCCUGGUGCUGUAUUACAGCUCUCUAUUCAGUACAUCCCAGUGGCUCGCCUUACAAUGUACCACCAUGGUGUCAUUGCUGGUCCGGACUGCCUUGGAGUGCCCAAUACUUACUUCCCGCUGCGCCGUGGCAUGAGGGUGACCCUCUAUCAGGAUGCACAUGUGCCCGAUGGUUCUCUCCCAGAUAUCUGGCUUGAUCAUGGAUUGCGCUACCAACACGGGCAAUGCUGGCGUGACAUGUACAAUGCCAUAAGCCAGGCACGGCGGUUGAUUUACAUUGUGGGUUGGUCAGUGUUCCACACGAUCGACCUCAUAAGGGAUGGAGCUGAGAAGGCACCAUCACUUGGGGACCUGUUGAAGAUGAAGUCGCAGGAAGGCGUUAGGGUAUUGCUUCUUGUAUGGGAUGAUCCAACGUCAAGGAGUAUUCUCGGCUUUAAGAUGGAUGGUUUCAUGGGCACACGAGAUGAGGAAACACGUCGGUUUUUCAAGCACUCUUCAGUUCAAGUAUUACUUUGCCCAAGAUCUGCUGGGAAGCGUCACAGCUGGGUGAAACAGCAGGAAACAGGAACCAUUUUUACUCAUCAUCAGAAAACAGUUAUUGUGGAUGCUGAUGCCGGCAAUUAUAGGAGAAAAAUAAUUGCUUUUGUCGGAGGUCUUGAUUUGUGUGGUGGGCGCUAUGAUACACCUGGGCAUCCUCUGUUUCAGACUCUUCAAACUUCACACAAGGAGGAUUAUUACAAUCCAAACUUUGCUACAGUUGAUGCCCGUGGCCCAAGGGAACCAUGGCAUGACUUGCAUUCCAGGAUCGACGGUCCAGCAGCUUAUGAUGUUCUGAAGAACUUUGAGGAGCGUUGGUUGAAGGCAUCCAAACGCCAUGGGAUUAAAAAGUUGGGGAAAUCAAACGAUGAUGCACUUCUCAAGAUUGAAAGAAUACAUGAUAUUGUAAACAUUGAUGAUGCAAUUUAUUUUAGCGACAAUGACCCAGAGACAUGGCAUGUUCAGGUGUUUCGCUCUAUUGACUCAAACUCUGCCAAGGGAUUUCCAAAGGACCCACGAGUAGCAACCAUGAAGAAUCUUGUCUGUGGGAAGAAUGUACUAAUUGAUAUGAGCAUACAUACAGCUUAUGUGAAUGCCAUCAGGGCAGCCCAACACUUUAUUUACAUUGAGAACCAAUACUUCAUCGGUUCUUCAUUUAAUUGGGAUUCAAACAAAGAUAUUGGGGCUAACAAUUUGGUACCAAUUGAAAUUGCUCUCAAAAUUGCAAACAAGAUUAAGGCAAAAGAGAGGUUUUCUGCAUACAUAGUAGUUCCUAUGUGGCCCGAGGGUAAUCCAACUGGUGCUCCUACACAAAGAAUUCUUUACUGGCAGAACAAAACAAUGCAAAUGAUGUAUGAGACAAUAUAUAAGGCCUUGAAAGAAGUAGGUCUGGAUGAUAUAUAUGAGCCUCAGGAUUAUUUGAACUUCUUUUGUCUUGGCAAUCGUGAAAUUGGGGACAGCCCUAGUACUCCAAGUACUGCAAAUAAUCCUCAGGAUCAAGCUAGGAAAAAUAGGAGAUUCAUGGUUUAUGUACAUUCAAAAGGUAUGAUUGUAGAUGAUGAAUAUGUGAUCAUUGGAUCAGCUAAUAUCAACCAGAGGUCGAUGGAAGGGAUCAGAGAUACUGAGAUUGCAAUGGGAGCAUAUCAACCACAGUAUACAUGGGCAAAUAAAAUUUCUGCUCCGCGUGGACAGAUUUAUGGCUACAGAAUGUCCCUCUGGGCUGAGCAUAUUGGAAUUAUCGAGGAAGAGUUUAACCAUCCAGAGAGCCUAGAGUGCAUGAGGCGGGUUCGUCAACUCGGGCAACAUAACUGGGAUCAGUUCUUUGCAAAUGAGGUGACUGAGAUGAGAGGCCACCUCCUCAAGUACCCUGUAAGUGUUGACCGUAAAGGCAAGGUGAAACCCUUGCCAGGAUGUGCGACAUUCCCAGACAUGGGCGGAAACAUUUGUGGCUCCUUCACGGCCAUCCAAGAAAACCUCACUAUAUGA
This 3324-nucleotide ribosomal RNA is filed under the name Triticum aestivum (bread wheat). Its description in RNAcentral is "partial small subunit ribosomal RNA". Lineage: Eukaryota; Viridiplantae; Streptophyta; Magnoliopsida; Poales; Poaceae. The record is from RNAcentral.